Molecule: ribosomal RNA, 253 nt
Filed under: uncultured bacterium
Lineage: Bacteria
Description: partial 16S ribosomal RNA
Rfam family: Bacterial small subunit ribosomal RNA
Source: RNAcentral
UACGAAGGGGGCUAGCGUUGUUCGGAAUUACUGGGCGUAAAGCGCGUGUAGGCGGGUCUUUAAGUCAGGGGUGAAAUGCCAAGGCUCAACCUUGGAACUGCCUUUGAUACUGGAGAUCUUGAGUCCGGGAGAGGUGAGUGGAAUUGCGAGUGUAGAGGUGAAAUUCGUAGAUAUUCGCAAGAACACCAGUGGCGAAGGCGGCUCACUGGCCCGGAACUGACGCUGAGGCACGAAAGCGUGGGGAGCAAACAGG